RNAcentral lists this non-coding RNA (28 nucleotides) under Mus musculus (house mouse). The record is from RNAcentral. Lineage: Eukaryota; Metazoa; Chordata; Mammalia; Rodentia; Muridae.
AGCAAAAGAAAAGAGCAGGAACUGCCUA